UGCCUGCUGUGGAAUCUCCAUCACAGCGACAGGUGCUUUGGAGGCCGGAGUGCAUGAGUACGGGCCCUGCACACGCUGAAUGUCACUGGGAACACAGACACACCCCGCUUCCAGGAGAAGAUAGAACACAUCGGCCCCUUUUAGCCAUCCCCAGUGCAGGACAUGUUGUUGACUUGCACGAGACAAAUACCUACUUGGAAAUCAGAUUUUUUCUGUACCUUUUGAAGGAGCAGGAAUUUCCCAGAAUUUCCUGGACAAAGACAGAGGCCACAUUCCCUGCAUCCUUUCCAGAAAGAUGUAAUUCUGAGAUUUUUGUCAUUCCUGGGCAUUAUCUUAUGAGGACUGCCAUGGGAGGAAAGUUUUCUUCUAAGCUGCAAGCCAGCUCUGGCUUCUGGAGUUUCUCCUUAGGAUUGCAAGACAGUAGUUCCCUGUCCUUUAGGUCUUCUCCAGAAAUACCUUAAAAUAGCAAAUAAAAUAAGAUAUAAGCAAACAAA
RNAcentral lists this long non-coding RNA (494 nucleotides) under Pongo abelii (Sumatran orangutan). Its description in RNAcentral is "lincRNA". Lineage: Eukaryota; Metazoa; Chordata; Mammalia; Primates; Hominidae. The record is from RNAcentral.